GAGGGUAUAGCUCAAUGGUAGAGUGCCUGCCUAGCAGGCAUGAGGUCCCAGGUUCAAUCCUCAGUGCCUCCA
RNAcentral lists this transfer RNA (72 nucleotides) under Camelus bactrianus (Bactrian camel). It matches the Rfam family "tRNA". From Rfam's summary of the family: Transfer RNA (tRNA) molecules are approximately 80 nucleotides in length. Their secondary structure includes four short double-helical elements and three loops (D, anti-codon, and T loops). RNAcentral also lists the same sequence under 3 other names. The record is from Rfam by way of RNAcentral. Lineage: Eukaryota; Metazoa; Chordata; Mammalia; Artiodactyla; Camelidae.